RNAcentral lists this ribosomal RNA (465 nucleotides) under uncultured bacterium. Its description in RNAcentral is "partial 16S ribosomal RNA". It matches the Rfam family "Bacterial small subunit ribosomal RNA", at positions 338 to 795 of the family's 1533-position model. The record is from RNAcentral.
CCUACGGGGGGCAGCAGUGGGGAAUAUUGCGCAAUGGGCGAAAGCCUGACGCAGCGACGCCGCGUGAGGGAUGAAGGUCUUCGGAUCGUAAACCUCUGUCAGCAGGGAAGAACGGUCACUGUGCUAAUCAGCAGUGAAUUGACGGUACCUGCAAAGGAAGCACCGGCUAACUCCGUGCCAGCAGCCGCGGUAAUACGGAGGGUGCGAGCGUUAAUCGGAAUUACUGGGCGUAAAGCGCUCGUAGGCGGUAUGUCAAGUCAAGGGUGAAAUCCCCGCGCUCAACGUGGGAACUGCCUUUGAAACUGGCAGACUGGAGUGUGUGAGAGGAAAGUGGAAUUCCAGGUGUAGGAGUGAAAUCCGUAGAUAUCUGGAGGAACAUCAGUGGCGAAGGCGACUAUCUGGCACAUAACUGACGCUGAGGAGCGAAAGCGUGGGUAGCAAACAGGAUUAGAUACCCUAGUAGUC